GGCCUCGUAGCUCAGCUGGUAGAGCAUGCGCGUACAAAGCGUAGGCGGUGUCCAUGCGUGCGUUCGAAUCCCACCGAGGCUA
RNAcentral lists this transfer RNA (82 nucleotides) under Echinostoma caproni. It matches the Rfam family "tRNA". From Rfam's summary of the family: Transfer RNA (tRNA) molecules are approximately 80 nucleotides in length. Their secondary structure includes four short double-helical elements and three loops (D, anti-codon, and T loops). Lineage: Eukaryota; Metazoa; Platyhelminthes; Trematoda; Plagiorchiida; Echinostomatidae. The record is from Rfam by way of RNAcentral.